This 545-nucleotide ribosomal RNA is filed under the name Citrobacter braakii. RNAcentral's name for it is "partial 23S ribosomal RNA". It matches the Rfam family "Bacterial large subunit ribosomal RNA", at positions 1132 to 1676 of the family's 2925-position model. The record is from RNAcentral. Lineage: Bacteria; Pseudomonadati; Pseudomonadota; Gammaproteobacteria; Enterobacterales; Enterobacteriaceae.
GCGUAAUAGCUCACUGGUCGAGUCGGCCUGCGCGGAAGAUGUAACGGGGCUAAACCAUGCACCGAAGCUGCGGCAGCGACACUAUGUGUUGUUGGGUAGGGGAGCGUUCUGUAAGCCGUUGAAGGUGUGCUGUGAGGCAUGCUGGAGGUAUCAGAAGUGCGAAUGCUGACAUAAGUAACGAUAAUGCGGGUGAAAAACCCGCACGCCGGAAGACCAAGGGUUCCUGUCCAACGUUAAUCGGGGCAGGGUGAGUCGACCCCUAAGGCGAGGCCGAAAGGCGUAGUCGAUGGGAAACAGGUUAAUAUUCCUGUACUUGGUGUUACUGCGAAGGGGGGACGGAGAAGGCUAUGUUAGCCGGGCGACGGUUGUCCCGGUUUAAGCAUGUAGGCGGAGAUUCCAGGUAAAUCCGGAGUCUUGCUAACGCUGAGGUGUGAUGACGAGGCACUACGGUGCUGAAGUAACAAAUGCCCUGCUUCCAGGAAAAGCCUCUAAGCAUCAGGUAACACAAAAUCGUACCCCAAACCGACACAGGUGGUCAGGUAGAG